This 850-nucleotide ribosomal RNA is filed under the name Dyella sp. MF2_4. RNAcentral's name for it is "bacterial SSU rRNA". It matches the Rfam family "Bacterial small subunit ribosomal RNA", at positions 602 to 1444 of the family's 1533-position model. The record is from RNAcentral. Lineage: Bacteria; Pseudomonadati; Pseudomonadota; Gammaproteobacteria; Lysobacterales; Rhodanobacteraceae.
CCCGGGCUCAACCUGGGAAUGGCAAUGGAUACUGGCAAGCUAGAGUGUGAUAGAGGAUGGUGGAAUUCCCGGUGUAGCGGUGAAAUGCGUAGAGAUCGGGAGGAACAUCAGUGGGCGAAGGCGGCCAUCUGGAUCAACACUGACGCUGAGGCACGAAAGCGUGGGGAGCAAACAGGGAUUAGAUACCCUGGUAGUCCACGCCCUAAACGAUGCGAACUGGAUGUUGGUCUCAACUCGGAGAUCAGUGUCGAAGCUAACGCGUUAAGUUCGCCGCCUGGGGGAGUACGGUCGCAAGACUGAAACUCAAAGGAAAUUGACGGGGGCCCGCACAAGCGGUGGAGUAUGUGGUUUAAUUCGAUGCAACGCGAAGAACCUUACCUGGCCUUGACAUGUCUGGAAUCCUGCAGAGAUGCGGGAGUGCCUUCGGGAAUCAGAACACAGGUGCUGCAUGGCUGUCGUCAGCUCGUGUCGUGAGAUGUUGGGUUAAGUCCCGCAACGAGCGCAACCCUUGUCCUUAGUUGCCAGCACGUAAUGGUGGGAACUCUAAGGAGACUGCCGGUGACAAACCGGAGGAAGGUGGGGAUGACGUCAAGUCAUCAUGGCCCUUACGGCCAGGGCUACACACGUACUACAAUGGUCGGUACAGAGGGUUGCAAUACCGCGAGGUGGAGCCAAUCCCAGAAAGCCGAUCCCAGUCCGGAUCGAAGUCUGCAAACUCGACUUCGUGAAGUCGGAAUCGCUAGUAAUCGCAGAUCAGCUAUGCUGCGGUGAAUACGUUCCCGGGCCUUGUACACACCGCCCGUCACACCAUGGGAGUGAGUUGCUCCAGAAGCCGUUAGUCUAACCGCAA